RNAcentral lists this ribosomal RNA (264 nucleotides) under uncultured archaeon. Its description in RNAcentral is "partial 16S ribosomal RNA". It matches the Rfam family "Archaeal small subunit ribosomal RNA", at positions 717 to 982 of the family's 1478-position model. The record is from RNAcentral.
ACACGACUACAUUAGAUACCCCGGUAGUCCUGGCCGUAAACGAUGUGGACUUGGUGUUGGGAAUGGCUCCGAGCUGCUCCAGUGCCGAAGGGAAGCUGUUAAGUCCACCGCCUGGGAAGUACGGUCGCAAGGCUGAAACUUAAGGAAUUGGCGGGGAGCACCACAACGGGUGGAGCCUGCGGUUUAAUUGGACUCAACGCCGGGAAGCUCACCGGAUAAGACAGCGGAAUGAUUGCCGGGCUGAAGACCCUGCAUGACCAGCUG